RNAcentral lists this ribosomal RNA (253 nucleotides) under uncultured bacterium. RNAcentral describes it as "partial 16S ribosomal RNA". It matches the Rfam family "Bacterial small subunit ribosomal RNA", at positions 524 to 776 of the family's 1533-position model. The record is from RNAcentral.
UACGUAGGUGGCAAGCGUCAUCCGGAUUUACUGGGUGUAAAGGGCGUGUAGGCGGGAAAGCAAGUCAGAUGUGAAAACCACGGGCUCAACCUGUGGCCUGCAUUUGAAACUGUUUUUCUUGAGUACUGGAGAGGCAGACGGAAUUCCUCGUGUAGCGGUGAAAUGCGUAGAUAUGAGGAGGAACACCAGUGGCGAAGGCGGUCUGCUGGACAGCAACUGACGCUGAGGCGCGAAAGCGUGGGGAGCAAACAGG